This 301-nucleotide ribosomal RNA is filed under the name uncultured bacterium. Its description in RNAcentral is "partial 16S ribosomal RNA". It matches the Rfam family "Bacterial small subunit ribosomal RNA", at positions 509 to 807 of the family's 1533-position model. The record is from RNAcentral.
CAGCCGCCGCGGUAAUACGUAGGUGGCAAGCGUUGUCCGGAAUUAUUGGGCGUAAAGCGCGCGCAGGUGGUUUAAUAAGUCUGAUGUGAAAGCCCACGGCUCAACCGUGGAGGGUCAUUGGAAACUGUUAAACUUGAGUGCAGGAGAGAAAAGUGGAAUUCCUAGUGUAGCGGUGAAAUGCGUAGAGAUUAGGAGGAACACCAGUGGCGAAGGCGGCUUUUUGGCCUGUAACUGACACUGAGGCGCGAAAGCGUGGGGAGCAAACAGGAUUAGAUACCCCCGUAGUCCCUGUCUCUUAUAC